RNAcentral lists this transfer RNA (67 nucleotides) under Smaragdina concolor. RNAcentral's name for it is "tRNA-Val". The record is from RNAcentral. Lineage: Eukaryota; Metazoa; Arthropoda; Insecta; Coleoptera; Chrysomelidae.
CAGACUAGAGCUUGAAAUAAGUUUUUUAUUUACACUAAAAAGAUAAUCUGACUGUGAUUUGGUCUGA